RNAcentral lists this ribosomal RNA (1166 nucleotides) under Yamadazyma olivae. Its description in RNAcentral is "LSU rRNA". It matches the Rfam family "Eukaryotic large subunit ribosomal RNA", at positions 24 to 1114 of the family's 3401-position model. The record is from RNAcentral. Lineage: Eukaryota; Fungi; Ascomycota; Pichiomycetes; Serinales; Debaryomycetaceae.
GCUUUCCCCCUGGGGACUAGCAUAUCAAUAAGCAGCAGGAUAGACACAGGCAGGGAUUGCCUUAGUAGCGGCGAGUGAAGCGGCAAUAGCUCAAAUUUGAAAUCUGGCACCUUCGGUGUCCGAGUUGUAAUUUGAAGAAGGUAUCUUUGGUUUUGGCUCUUGUCUAUGUUCCUUGGAACAGGACGUCACAGAGGGUGAGAAUCCCGUGCGAUGAGAUGCCCAAUUCCAUGUAAAGUUCCUUCGACGAGUCGAGUUGUUUGGGAAUGCAGCUCUAAGUGGGUGGUAAAUUCCAUCUAAAGCUAAAUAUUGGCGAGAGACCGAUAGCGAACAAGUACUGUGAAGGAAAGAUGAAAAGAACUUUGAAAAGAGAGUGAAAAAGUACGUGAAAUUGUUGAAAGGGAAGGGCUUGAGAUUAGACUUGGAACUUUCCAAUUUAUUGGAGCUUUCCGGGCCAGCAUCAGUUUGGAUGGUAGGAUAAUUGCGUUGGAAAGUAGCACUACUACGGUGGUGUAUUAUAGACUUCGUCGAUACUACCUAUCUAGACUGAGGACCGCGUCUUUGACUAGGAUGCUGGCGUAAUGAUCUUAAGCCGCCCGUCUUGAAACACGGACCAAGGAGUCUAACGUCUAUGCGAGUGUUUGGGUGUAAAACCCGUACGCGUAAUGAAAGUGAACGUAGGUGAGAGCCUUAGGGUGCAUCAUCGACCGAUCCUGAUGUCUUCGGAUGGAUUUGAGUAAGAGCAUAGCUGUUGGGACCCGAAAGAUGGUGAACUAUGCCUGAAUAGGGUGAAGCCAGAGGAAACUCUGGUGGAGGCUCGUAGCGGUUCUGACGUGCAAAUCGAUCGUCGAAUUUGGGUAUAGGGGGCGAAAGACUAAUCGAAACCAUCUAGUAGCUGGUUCCUGCCGAGCUCCCCCCCCAGAGAAUGCAUGAGUAGUGUGUGUGUGUUCGUGGAGAGUGUCUCGCCCCGCGCUCCAAUGUCCUCGGGUGUGCUGCAUCGAGGAUGGGAGAUGUCUCAUUGGGGUUCUCCGCGCAUCCUAUCAGGUCCACUAUACAACGAGAGGCACAAGUGAUGCUUACCCAGACUCCAGCACUUCCGUAUUGCUCAGUAGGUCUAGACUACUACUUCAUUCAUACGAGUUUUGUACAACACUUCAGACCUUGGAAUC